RNAcentral lists this ribosomal RNA (250 nucleotides) under uncultured bacterium. RNAcentral describes it as "partial 16S ribosomal RNA". It matches the Rfam family "Bacterial small subunit ribosomal RNA", at positions 779 to 1035 of the family's 1533-position model. The record is from RNAcentral.
UAGAUACCUGGUAGUCCGCACAGUAAACGAUGGAUGCCCGCUGUUAGCGCCUGGUGUUAGCGGCUAAGCGAAAGCAUUAAGCAUCCCACCUGGGGAGUACGCCGGCAACGGUGAAACUCAAAGGAAUUGACGGGGGCCCGCACAAGCGGAGGAACAUGUGGUUUAAUUCGAUGAUACGCGAGGAACCUUACCCGGGCUUGAAUUGCAGAUGUAGGAUACAGAGAUGUUGACGCCUUCGGGGCAUCUGUGA